GUCCUUCUGCAGGGCUCAACCAGCGUGCAGCAAGCACAGUGCUUGUUUUCUGGACAACCCUCACUAUUGCCAAAGGAGGAAAACAAAAAUGAAAUCACCAUCAGCCAGUUCAGCCCCAUGGAUACAGGUCAUCUUGCUAUAAACAAAGCUUAUUAACUGGAUAUUUUCAUGUAAGUAGAAUCUCAAGAUUAUUUUUUUUCUGUGAAGGUGAUACCAUCCUUUAGGUAUUUUUUUAAAACUUCAAAUUCCUUUCCUUCUGCCUGUAUCUCAUCUUUCUCCUAU
RNAcentral lists this long non-coding RNA (282 nucleotides) under Junco hyemalis (dark-eyed junco). Its description in RNAcentral is "lncRNA (ENSJHYG00000013713.1)". Lineage: Eukaryota; Metazoa; Chordata; Aves; Passeriformes; Passerellidae. The record is from RNAcentral.